AUACGUAGGUGGCAAGCGUUGUCCGGAUUUAUUGGGCGUAAAGCGAGCGCAGGUCGGUUUUUUAAGUCUGAUGUGAAAGCCUUCGGCUUAACCGGAGAAGUGCAUCGGAAACUGGGAAACUUGAGUGCAGAAGAGGACAGUGGAACUCCAUGUGUAGCGGUGAAAUGCGUAGAUAUAUGGAAGAACACCAGUGGCGAAGGCGGCUGUCUGGUCUGUAACUGACGCUGAGGCUCGAAAGUAUGGGUAGC
Molecule: ribosomal RNA, 248 nt
Filed under: uncultured bacterium
Lineage: Bacteria
Description: partial 16S ribosomal RNA
Rfam family: Bacterial small subunit ribosomal RNA
Source: RNAcentral